UGCCUAACACAUGCAAGUCGAGCGUGAAAGUCCUUCGGGAUGGGUAAAGCGGCGGACGGGUGAGUAACACGUGAGAAUCUUCCUUUUAGUGGAGAAUACCCUUGAGAAAUUGAGGUUAAUACUGCAUAAGUCUCGAAAGAGAGAAAGAUGGCCUAUUUGCUGUCGCUAAAAGAUGAGCUUGCGGUCUAUUAGUUAGUUGGUGAGGUAAAGGCUCACCAAGACGAUGAUGGAUAACCGGCCUGAGAGGGUGAACGGUCACAUUGGAACUUAGACACGGUCCAAACUCCUACGGGAGGCAGCAGUGAGGAAUAUUGCACAAUGGGCGAAAGCCUGAUGCAGCUUUCCGCGUGAAGGAUGAAGGUCUUCGGAUUGUAAAGCUC
This 380-nucleotide ribosomal RNA is filed under the name uncultured organism. Its description in RNAcentral is "bacterial SSU rRNA". It matches the Rfam family "Bacterial small subunit ribosomal RNA", at positions 45 to 433 of the family's 1533-position model. The record is from RNAcentral.